Molecule: ribosomal RNA, 468 nt
Filed under: uncultured bacterium
Lineage: Bacteria
Description: partial 16S ribosomal RNA
Rfam family: Bacterial small subunit ribosomal RNA
Source: RNAcentral
GACGAACGCUGGCGGCGUGCUUAACACAUGCAAGUCGAACGGAAAGGCCCUGCUUUUGUGGGGUGCUCGAGUGGCGAACGGGUGAGUAACACGUGAGUAACCUGCCCUUGACUUUGGGAUAACUUCAGGAAACUGGGGCUAAUACCGUAUAGGAGCUCCUGCUGCAUGGUGGGGGUUGGAAAGUUUCGGCGGUUGGGGAUGGACGCGCGGCUUAUCAGCUUGUUGGUGGGGUAGUGGCUUACCAAGGCUUUGACGGGUAGCCGGCCUGAGAGGGUGACCGGCGACAUUGGGACUGAGAUACGGCCCAGACUCCUACGGGAGGCAGCAGUGGGGAAUAUUGCACAAUGGGCGGAAGCCUGAUGCAGCAACGCCGCGUGCGGGAUGACGGCCUUCGGGUUGUAAACAGCUUUCGCCUGUGACGAAGCGUGAGUGACGGUAAUGGGUAAAGAAGCACCGGCUAACUACGUG